This is a long non-coding RNA of Neofelis nebulosa (Clouded leopard), 1566 nucleotides long. RefSeq lists it as uncharacterized. NCBI's taxonomy places the organism in Eukaryota, Metazoa, Chordata, Mammalia, Carnivora, Felidae. The transcript is spliced from 3 exons. The record is from RefSeq and is a predicted model, not a curated record.
AAUCAGCUUCCUAAAGUUUAUUCAAAAGAAGUAUUUUUUUCUUGCAGAACAAAACGUUCAGAGAAAGACAAGUUGCUGGCAUUGGCUCAACACAUCAAGAAUGUCAGGGUCUAGGUUUCUUGGACUUUUCCUCGUUGAUAAAACAUAGCUGCUACAUCUCCAGUCCUCUCAUCUGUGAUCCAGGGAGGAAGGCCAGGUACAGGAUGGGCAGGUACACUUUAGGACAGGUUUACGGGAAAAAUUAAAUGCACAGAGCACACUUACCCAAUUUGUGAAUCAUACGCAAAACAGAAAGCCACAUGGUGUGGAGAACCUCCAUGCCUGCCUUUUAGCAGAUGUUCCUGGGGAAUGCCAAUACAACCCAGGAUUCCUUGGAAAGUGGAAAAAAUGAUGUAUCUCCUACAGCCUCUUCAUUCUUCAAAAUGAACAUGAGAAUCAAUACACCAAUCAAGAACAAAGGUUCUUGGACAGACUUGCAUCUAAAUUCCAACUCUACUAUUAAAAACCAUGGUACUUUAACCUAAAUGUAAGACAGGAAGCCAUCAAAAUCCUCGAGGAGAAAGCAGGAAAAAACCUCUUUGAUCUUGGCCGCAGCAACUUCUUACUCAACACGUCUCCAGAGGCAAGAGAAACAAAAGCAAAAAUGAACUAUUGGGACCUUACCAAAAUAGAGCUUCUGCACAGCAAAGGAAACAAUCAGCAAAACUAAAAGGCAACCGAUGGAAUGGUAGAGAUAUUUGCAAACGACCUAUCAGAUAAAGGGUUAAUAUCCAAAAUCUACAGAGAACUUAUCAAACUCAACACCCAAAAAACAAAUAAUCCAGUCAAGAAAUGGGCAGAAAUGGACAUCAAUAGACACUUCUCCAAAGAACACAUCCAGAUGGCCAACCAACACAUGAAAAAAUGCUCCACAUCACUCAUCAUCAGGGAAAUACAAAUCAAAACCACAAUGAGAUAUCACCUCACACCUGUCAGAAUGGCUAACAUUAACAACUCAGGCAACAACAGAUGCUGGUAAAGAUGUGGAGAAAGACUAUCUCUUUUGCACUGCUGGUGGGAAUGCAAAUAGGUGCAGCCACUGUGGCAAACAGUAUAGAGGUUCCUCAAAAAACUAAAAACAGAACUACCCUACGACCCAGCAAUUGCACUACUAGGUAUUUAUCCAAGGGAUACAGGUAUGUUGUUUUGAAGGGACACAUGCACCCCAAUGAUAGCAGCACUAUCAACAAUAGCCAAAGUAUGGAAAGACCCCAAAUGUCCAUUGAUGGAUGAAUGGAUAAAGAAGAUGUGGUAUAUAUAUACAAUGGAGUAUUACUCAGCAAUCAAAAAGAAUGAAAUCUUGCCAUUUGCAACUACGUGGAUGGAACUAGAGGGUAUUCUGCUAAGCAAAAUUAGAGAAAGACAAAUAUCGUAUGACCUUACUUAUAUGAGGACUUUAAGACCUGUAACACAUGAACACAAGGGAAGGGAAGCAAAAAGAAUAUAAAAACAGGGAGGGAGACAAAACAUAAGAGACUCUUAAAUAUGGAGAAUAGAGGGUUACUGGAGGGGUUGUGGGAGGGGGAU